This 492-nucleotide ribosomal RNA is filed under the name uncultured bacterium. RNAcentral's name for it is "partial 16S ribosomal RNA". It matches the Rfam family "Bacterial small subunit ribosomal RNA", at positions 29 to 507 of the family's 1533-position model. The record is from RNAcentral.
AGUGAACGCUGGCGGUAGGCCUAACACAUGCAAGUCGAACGGCAGCACAGUAAGAGCUUGCUCUUACGGGUGGCGAGUGGCGGACGGGUGAGGAAUACAUCGGAACCUACUUUUUCGUGGGGGAUAACGUAGGGAAACUUACGCUAAUACCGCAUACGACCUACGGGUGAAAGCAGGGGAUCUUCGGACCUUGCGCGAUUGAAUGAGCCGAUGUCGGAUUAGCUAGUUGGCGGGGUAAAGGCCCACCAAGGCGACGAUCCGUAGCUGGUCUGAGAGGAUGAUCAGCCACACUGGAACUGAGACACGGUCCAGACUCCUACGGGAAGCAGCAGUGGGGAAUAUUGGACAAUGGGCGCAAGCCUGAUCCAGCCAUACCGCGUGGGUGAAGAAGGCCUUCGGGUUGUAAAGCCCUUUUGUUGGGAAAGAAAAGCAGCAGGUUAAUACCCCGCUGUUCUGACGGUACCCAAAGAAUAAGCACCGGCUAACUUCGUG